UAUUUCUGCCUGUCACUUAUUAUCUGGUUGAGCUGGUGGCGGGAGUCCCGGCCCAUGUGUGUUACCAGAGGGAUGGUCUAGAGAAUGAAUCCAUCUGUCAGAGGCAUCCAAGAAGAAAGGCCUGGGCCAGGAUCACAUGGAAGACCCUGAAGACAGGAUCGGGUCUUGCCUGCCUGGAUUGAACAGAGACGCAGUGACCAGUCCCAUCUGCUCCCACCCUGCUGCCCUCUGAAUCGAGAGUUUGAGGCCAUGACCAGGGUAACGUUCAGCUGGUAGAGACAACACAACCCUGCUGGCUGUUUAAGCCAUGCUGGAGUGGUGCUCACAGGGUAACAAUUCUGAGUGAUGAACAGAAGCAGCACUUGAGCCAGACUCUGACCAAGAACUGCGGGCAGGCUAGAGCCACACAGAUCCCCGCCUCAGUAGACCGGCUGCAGCAGGAGGUACACCAUGCCCUAUGGCCUUGAAGGCCAAGCAGACACAGUUCAAGUGCUACGGAUGCAAUAGCUCAGCGACUGGCAGCGCAGCACGUACCUGCUGUCGUGGGAGGUGAGAGCCACCAGUGCCCGACAGCGGCUGCAAGGCAGUGGUGGCGCUCUGCAGCCAGCCGGCCCACCCCUCCAACAUCUGCAAGGGGGUGGGAGGCUGCCUCACCAAGCUACCUGCUACUCAUGGGGGCGAUGGGCAUCAGGGUGGCCUGCCUGGAGCGGCAGAUAUCUCCAGUAACUGGGCUGGCAUGUCCGUGCCCUGCGCUGCUCUCUUCUCUCAGCUUCCCUUUGCAACCAAGGCUGAUUCCCACAGUCAGUCUCUCCCCCAGAGAACAUGAAGGAAGAUGCCUGAGGGACAACAUUAACUUGUCAGGAACAGGGGCCUGGGAGGAGUGUGGAUGUGGGCUCAGGUACGGGCAUGCACCUUGAGUGUGUGCAUGUGGGGGUCAGUGUGCAAGCCUGCCGUGGUGUGUGUGGGUCCGUGGGGGUCCCCAUGUUCCCGGGUCUAUGUGGGUGGGGUGGUAUGCACUGUGUGUGUUUAGGGUGCUUGUGCAUGUGUGAGUGUGUACAUAUCUGCAUUCAUUCCUGUGUGUGUCUGCGUCUGUGUCUGUGUGUGUGUGUCUGUGUCUGUGGGUGUGUGUGUGUGUGUGUGUGGGUGUGUGUGUGUGUGUGUACCAUCAGCCCUCCAUAUCCACAGGUUCUGUAUCCUUGGAUUCAACCAACCAUGGAAUAAAAGUACUAACAAAAAGGAUGGUUAUGUCUGCACUGAACAUCCUUGUCAUUACCCCCUAAACAAUACAGCGUGACAACGAUUUACAUAGCAUGUGGAUUGUAUUAGGAAUUACAAGUAAUCUAGAGAUGAUUUAAAGAAUGUGGGAGGAUGUGCAGACGUCACAUGCAAAUACUGCACCAUUUUAUAUCAGGGACUUGAGCAUCAGUGGAUUUUGGAAUCCAGAACAACUGUAUAUAAGUGCGCGUGUGCGUGU
RNAcentral lists this long non-coding RNA (1474 nucleotides) under Homo sapiens (human). RNAcentral describes it as "HSALNT0184350". The record is from RNAcentral. Lineage: Eukaryota; Metazoa; Chordata; Mammalia; Primates; Hominidae.